RNAcentral lists this long non-coding RNA (6335 nucleotides) under Sus scrofa (pig). RNAcentral's name for it is "lncRNA (ENSSSCG00000043205.2)". Lineage: Eukaryota; Metazoa; Chordata; Mammalia; Artiodactyla; Suidae. The record is from RNAcentral.
AUCGUGGUAUUGAUUUGCAUUUCUCUAAUAAUGAGUGAUGUUGAACAUCUUUUUAUGUGUUUUUUGUCCAUCUGUAUGUCUUCUUUGGAGAAUUGUCUAUUUAGAUCUUCUGCCCAUUUUUUGAUGGGGUUGGAUUUUUUUUGGUAUUGAGCUGCAGAAGGUGGUUAUAAAUUUUGGAGAUGAAUCCCUUGUCAGUCGAUUCACUUGCAAAGAUUUUCUCCCAUUCUGUGGGUUGUUUUUUUGUGUUGUUUAGGGUUUCCUUUGCUGUGCAGAAACUUUUCAGUUUGAGUAGGUCCCAUUUGUAUAUUUUUCUUUUUAUUGUCAAUACUCUGAUAGGUGGAUCUGAGAAGAUGUUGCUGUCGUUUAUGUCAGAGAGUGUUUGGCCUAUGUUUUCCUCUAGGAGUUUGAUAGUAUCUGGUCUUAUAUCUAGGUCUUUAAUCCAUUUUGAGUUUAUUUUUGUGUGUGGUGGUAGGGAGUGUUCUAAUUUCAUUCUUUUCCAUGUGGCUGUCCAGUUUUCCCAGCACCACUUAUUGAACAAGCUGUCCUUUCUCCAUUGUAUGGUCUUGCCUCCUUUGUCAUAGAUUAGUUGGCUGUAUGUGCAUGGGUUUAAUUCUGGGCUUCCUAUCCUGUUCCACUAAUCUAUAUAUCUGUCUUUGUGCCAGUAGUAUAUGGUUUUGAUGAUUGUUGUUUGUAGUAUAGUCUGAAGUCUGGGAGCCUGAUUCCUCCAGCUACAUUUUUCUUUUUCAGGAUGUCUUUGGCUAUUCUGGGUCUUUUGUACUUCCAAACAAACUUUAAAAUAUUUUGUUCAAGUUCUGUGAAAAAUGUCCUUGGUAAUUUGAUAGGAUUGCAUUGAAUCUGUGGAUUGCCUUGGGUAGUAUAGUCAUUUUGAUAAUAUUAACUCUUCCAAUCCAUGAGCAUGGUAUAUCUUUCCAUCUAUCUGUGUCAUCUUUGAUUUCUUUCAUCAGUGGCCUGUAGUUUUCAGAGUACAGGUCUUUUGCCUCUUUAGGUAGGUUUACUCCUAGGUAUUUUAUUCUUUUGGAUGUGAUGGUAAAUGGGAUUGCUUCCCUAAUUUCCUCUUCUACUUUUUCAUUGUUAGUAUAUAGAAACGCUAUCAAUUUCUGUGUAUUGAUUUUGUAUCCUGCGACUUCGCCAAAUUCGUGGAUAAGCUCUAAUAGUUUUCUGGUAGAGUCUUUAGGAUUCUCUAGGUAUAGUAUCAUGUCAUCUGCAAAUAGCGGUAAUUUUACUUCUUCCUUUCCAAUUUGGAUUCCUUUUAUUUAUUUUACUUCUCUGAUUGCUGUGGCUAGCACUUCCAGAGCUAUGUUGAAGAGUAGUGGCAAGAGCGGACAUCCUUGUCUUGUUCCUGAUCUCACGGGGAAUUCUUUCAGCUUUUCACCAUUGAGAAUGAUGUUCGCUGUGGGUUUGUUGUAUAUGGCCUUUAUCAUGUUGAGGUAGGUUCCCAUUAUGCCCACUUUCUGAAGGGUUUUUUUCAGAAAUGGGUGUUGGAUUUUGUCAAAGGCUUUUUCCACGUCUAUUGAGAGGAUCAUAUGGUUUUUAUCUUCAGUUGUUAAUGUAGUGUAUCACACUGAUGGACUUGCGGAUAUUGAAGAAUCCUUGCAUCCCUGGGAUAAAUCCCACUUGAUCAUGAUGUACAAUCCUUUUAAUGUAUUGUUGGAUGUGGUUUGCUAGUAUUUUGUUGAGGAUUUUUGCAUCGAUGUUCAUCAGUGAUAUUGGCCUGUAGUUUUCUUUUUUUGUGGAGUCUUUGUCUGGUUUUGGUACCAGGGUGACGGUGGCCUCAUAGAAUGAGUUUGGGAGUAUCCCUUACUCUGCAAUUUUUUGAAAUAGUUUCAGAAGGAGAGGUGUUAGCUCUUCUCUAAAUGUUUGAUAGAAUUCGCCUGUGAAGCCAUCUGGUCCUGGACUUUUGUUUGUUGGAAGUUUUUAAAUCACAGUUUCAGUUUCAGUUCUUGUGAUUGGUCCAUUCAUCUUUUCUAUUUCAUCUUGGUUUAGUCUUGGAAGAUUGUACUUUUCUAAGAAUUUGUCCAUUUCUUCUAGGUUUUCCAUUUUAUUGCCGUAUAGUUGCAUAUAGUAGUCUCUUUUGUAUAGUAGUCUCCUUUGUAUUUCUGUGGUGUCCGUUGUUACUUCUCCUUUUUCAUUUCUAAUUUUAUUGAUUUGAGUCCUCUCUUUUGCUUGAUAAGUCUGGCUAGGGGUUUAUCAAUUUUGUUGAUCUUUUCAAAUAACCAGCUUUUUGUUUCAUUGAUCUUUUCUGUGGUUUUCUUUGUUUCUAUUUCAUUGAUUUCUGCUCUGAUCUUUAUGAUUUCUUUCCUUCUACUAACUUUAGGUCUUGUCCUUCUCUCUCAAGCUGCUUUAGAUGUAAAGUUAGCUUGUUGAUUUGAGCUUUUUCUUGUUUCCUGAGGUGGGCUUGUAUUGCUAUAAACUUUCCUCUUAGAACAGCUUUUGCUCCAUCCCAUAGGUUUUGGAGUGUGGAAUCUUCAUUGUCGUUUGCUGCUAGGUAUUUUUUAAUUUCCUCUUUGAUUUCUUCAGUGAUCCAUUGGUUGUUUAGUAGCAUGUUGAGUCUCCACGUGUUUGUGUUUUUUGCAGUUUUUUUCUUGUUGAUUUCCAGUUGUAUAGCAUUGUGGUCAGAAAAGAUGCUUGAUAUGAUUUCAAUUUUCUUAAAGUUACUGAGGUUGGAUUUGUAGCCCAGGAUAUGAUCAAUCUUAGAGAAUGUUCCAUGUGCACUUGAGAAGAAUGUGUAUUCUGUUGCUUUUGGAUGAAAUGUCCUACAAAUAUCUGUUAAGUCCAUCUGGUUUAAUGCUUCAUUCAGGGCCUGUGUUUCCUUAUUGAUUUUCUGUCUGGUUGAUCUGUCCAUUGCUGUAAGUGGGGUGUUAAAGUCCCCCACUAUGAUUGUGUUAUUAUCGAUUCCUCCUUUUAAGGUUGUUAGCAGUAGCCUUAUAUAUUGUGGUGAACCUGUGUUGGGUGUGUAGAUAAAAUUGUUAUAUCAUCUUCUUGGACUGAUCCUUUGAUCAUUAUGUAAUGUCCUUCUUUGUCCCUGAAAAUAUUCUUCAUUUUAAAGUCUAUUUUGUCUGAUAUGAGUAUUGCUUCUCCAGCUUUCUUUUGAUCCCCGUUUGCGUGAAAUAUUUUCCUCCAUCCUCUCACUUUCAAUUUGUAUGUGUCCCUAGAAGUGAAGUGGGUCUCUUGAAGACAGCAUAUAUAUGGGUCUUGUUUUUUUAUCCAUUUAGCCAGUCUAUGUCUUCUGGUUGGGGCAUUAAUCCAUUCACAUUUAAGGUAAUUAUUGAUAUGUAUGUUCUUAUUGCCAUUUUAUUAAUUACUUUGGAUUUGUUUUUGCUGCUCUUUUUCCUUUCCUUCUUCUCUUGUUCUUUUCUGCCUAGAGAAGUUCCUUUAGUAUUUGUUGUAAGGCUGGUUUAGUGUUGCUGAAUUCUCUCAGCUCUUGCUUAUCUGUGAAGGUUUUGAUUUCUCCUUCAAAUCUGAACGGAGUCUUGCUUGGUAGAGUAAUCUUGGUUGGAGGUUUUUUCCUUUCAUCAUGUUGAGUAUGUCAUGCACUCCCUUCUGGCCUGCAGAGUUUCUGUUGAAAAAUCUGCCAAUAGCCUUAUCGGGGUUCCCUUGUAUGUUAUUUGUUUCUUUUCCCUAGCUGCUUUCAAGAUUUUGUCUUUAAUUUUGGUCAGUUUGAUUAGUAUGUGUCUCGGGGUGUUCCUCCUUGGGUUUAUUUUGUAUGGUACUCGUUGUGAUUCCUGUAUUUGAGUGAGUGAUUCCUUCCCCAUAUUGGGGAAGUUUUCAGCUAUUAUCUCUUGGAAUAUUUUUUCUGUCUCCUCUCUCUCUUCUCCUUCUGGCACCCCUAUAAUACGGAUGUUGGUGCAUUUCACGUUGUCCCAGAGUUCUCUGAGACUCUCUUCAUUUGUUUUCAAUCUUUUUUCUCUUUUCUGUUCUGCAUCCGUAAUUUCCACUAAUCUGUCCUCCACCUCGCUUAUUCGUUCUUCUGCCUCCUGUAUUCUGCUGUUAGCUGCUUCUAGUGAAUUUUUUAUUUCAGUUAUUGUAUUUUGCCUCUCUUCUUGUUUAAGUUUUACAUCUUGUAUCUCUUUGGUCAGUGUUUCCUGUAAGUUAUCCAUCUUUGCCUCCAGUUUAUUUCCAAUGUCUUGCAUCUUCUUCAGCAUCAACAGUCUAAAGUCUUUUUCCUGGAGGCUGAGACUCUCCUCAUGGCUUAGCUGUUUUUCUGGGGUUUUUUUCUUUCUCCCUCAUCUGAGUUAUAGUUCUCUGUCUUUUCAUUUUUAUAGGUUUUUGGUGUGGCGACCUUCUUACAGAUAAUAGAGUUGUAGCCUCUCUUACUUCUGAUGUCUGCCCCCCUGUGGCUGAAGUCAGUAUGGAGGCUUGGUGUAGGCUUCCUGAUGGGAGGCGCUGAUGCCUGCCCCCUGGUAGGAGGAGCCGAUUCUAAUCCCUCUGGUGGGUGGGGCUUAGUCUCUGGAUGGGAUUAGAGGCAGCUGUGUGCCUGAGGGUUCUUUAGGUAGCCUGUUUACUGAGGGGUGGGGCUGUGAUCCCACCUGGGUUGUUUGCCCUGGGGCUUCUCAGCAGCUGGCUGAUGGGUGGGGCCAGAUUUUCCCAAAAUGACCACCUCCAUAGAAAGGUGAGGCUGCUGAAUAUUCCUGAGAGCUUCGCUUUCAAUGUCCUUCCCUCACAACAAGCCACAUUCACCCCUGUUUUCCCAGGAUGUCCUCCAAGAACUGCAGUCAGGUUUGACCCAGAUUCUCUUGGAGACUUUGCUUUGCCCUGGGACUCAGUGCACAUGAAAGUCUGUGUGUACCUUUUAAGAAUGGGGUCUCCGUUUCCCCCAGUCCCGUGGAGCUCUUGCGCACAAGCCCCACUGGCCUUCAAUGCCAGAUGCUCCGGAGCUCUUUCUCCCUGUACCAGAUCCCCACAUGUGAGAGUUUGAUGUGUGGCUCAGAACUCUCACUCCUGUAGGUGAGUCUCUGAGAACCAGUUAGUUUCCAGUCUGUGGCGCUUCCCACCCAGGAGGUAUGGGGUUGUUUAUGUCGCGAAAUCGCCCCUCCUACCUCUUGAUUGGCCUCCUCUUUUUCUUCUGGAGUAGGGUAUCUUUUUUAAGGUUUCCAGUCCAUUUUGGUGAAGUGUGCUCAGUCUUUAGUUGUGAAUUUUGUUGUUUUUAGGAGAGAAGUUGAGCUCCAGUCCUUCUAUUCUGCCAUCUUAAUCCCAUCUCCCUGCACAGAAACUUUUAAGUUUAAUUAAGUCCCAUUUGUUUAUUUUAUUUUUUUACUGUCAUAACUCUAAGAGGUGGAUCUGAGAAGAUGUUGCUGUCAUUUAUGUCUGAAAGUGUUUGGCCUAUGCUUUCCUCUAAUAGUUUUAUCCUAUCUGGUCUUAUAUCUAGGUCUUUAAUCCAUUUUGAGUUUAUUUUUGUGUGUGGUGGUAGGCAGUGUUCUAAUUUCAUUCUUUUCCAUGUGGCUGUCCAGUUUUCCCAGCACCACUUAGUGAAUGGACUAUCGUUUCUCCAUUGUAUGGUCUUGCCUCCUUUGUCAUAGAUUAGUUGGCUGUAGGUGUGUGGGUUUAAUUCUGGGCUUUCUAUCCUGUUCCACUGAUCUAUAUUUCCGUGCUUGUGCCAGUACCAUACGGUUUUGAUGACUGUUGCUUUGUAGAUGCAAAAAUCCUCAACAAAAUGCUAGAAAACUGAAUCCAACAAUACCUUAAAAGGAUUGUACAUCAUGAUCAAGUGGGAUUUAUCUCAGGGAUGCAAGGAUUAUUCAAUGUCUGAAAUCAGUGUGAUAACCACAUUAACAAACUGAGGAAUAAAAACCAUGUGAUCCUCUUGAUAGAUGCAGAAAAAGCCUUUGACGAAAUCCAACACUCCAGUAAAAACCCUUCAGAAAGGGGCACAGAGGGAACCUACAUCAACAUAAUGAAGGCUGUAUGUGACAAACCCACAGUGAACAUAUUCUCAAUGGUGAAAAGCUGAAAGAUUUCCUGCUAAGAUAUGGAACAAGACAAGGAUGUCUGCUCUUGCCACUGCUACUCAACAUAACUUUGAAAGUCCUAGCUAUGACAAUCAGAAGAAAAAGAAAUAAAAGGAAUCCAGGAGUUCCCGUUGUGGCACAGUGGUUAACGAAUCUGCCUGGGAGCCAUGAGGUUGCGGGUUCUAUCCCUGGCCUUGCUCAGUGGGUUAGGGAUCCAGCGUUGCCGUGAGCUGUGGUGUAGAUUGCAGACACUGCUCGGAUCCCGCAUUGCUGUGGCCCUGACAUAGGCCGGCAGCUACAGCUCUGAUUCGACCCCUAGCCUGGGAAACCUCCAUAUGCUGUGGGAGUGGCCCUAGAAAAGGCAAAAAG